Lactuca sativa (garden lettuce) is the source of this 340-nucleotide long non-coding RNA. RefSeq lists it as uncharacterized. NCBI's taxonomy places the organism in Eukaryota, Viridiplantae, Streptophyta, Magnoliopsida, Asterales, Asteraceae. The record is from RefSeq and is a predicted model, not a curated record.
CCGAUAUGUAUUACUAUAUAUGUUAUGUCGGACCAACAGUUCAAGAAGAAAUCAACAAAAUCUGGAGAAGCGUCCGCCAAAUAAUUGUCGUCUUGAGAAUUGCAAUCGAUCAAAUAGAAAAUUUUGCAAGCACACAAAUCUGAAAGUCCUUGGACAUCUCUUCAAAUCGUAUUGAAAGUGAUUUUUUUACAAUAUACUCAUUAUUGUAAAUAAGAGACGUUUUCGCCUCAAAAAGUGCAUGAAGACAUUGUUUUUAUGUGUUUUUUGUAGGUUUUUCGUUUGUAUUAUUUGUUUAUUUGUAACUUUACUGCAUUUUUAUUGUAUAAAUCUUUUAUAUAUA